Cephus cinctus (wheat stem sawfly) is the source of this 256-nucleotide long non-coding RNA. RefSeq lists it as uncharacterized. The record is from RefSeq and is a predicted model, not a curated record. The transcript has 2 exons. Lineage: Eukaryota; Metazoa; Arthropoda; Insecta; Hymenoptera; Cephidae.
UUUAAUUUUAAUAGACUGCAAGGUUUACACACGAAUCAUCAUUGAGUCAUAAAUAAAGAAGACCACAGAUAUAAUAAACCAUUUAUAACCACAAUGGAAACACUGUCUAUCACUUUUCUUAGGAAAUGCAUUCUUACAUACCAUAUUUGCGUCCAUCCAGACAAGGAUUACUUCGUAUGGUCACUUACCGACCUAUCCUAGGGUAAUACUUAUCACUACGAAGUCAACAUUAUCUAUAGUAGUUAACCAAAAAAAA